RNAcentral lists this ribosomal RNA (425 nucleotides) under Macrotermes gilvus. RNAcentral describes it as "partial 16S ribosomal RNA". The stretch from base 1 to 174 matches the Rfam family "Bacterial large subunit ribosomal RNA", at positions 1797 to 2031 of the family's 2925-position model. Lineage: Eukaryota; Metazoa; Arthropoda; Insecta; Blattodea; Termitidae. The record is from RNAcentral.
CGCCUGUUUAUCAAAAACAUCUUUUCUUGUUAGUUUUUGAAGUAUGGCCUGCCCGCUGAUUUUAGGUUGAAGGGCCGCGGUAUUUUGACCGUGCAAAGGUAGCAUAAUCAUUAGUUCUUUAAUUGUGAUCUGGUAUGAAUGGCUUGACGAGGCAUGGGCUGUCUUGGAUUGGGAUUGUUUAUUGAAUUUGGUUUUUGAGUUAGAAUUCUUAAAUGUUUUUAUGGGACGAGAAGACCCUAUAGAGUUUAACAUUUAUUUAUAUAGCUUGUUUUGGUUUGUUUUAUAGUUGCUUUGUGUUAAUGUUUUGUUGGGGUGAUGGGAAGAAUUUUCUUAACUCUUCUUUAUUUUGGUAUAUUGAUUUAUAUUGGUUUUGAUCCAUUUAUUUUGAUUAUAAGAUUAAAUUACCUUAGGGAUAACAGCGUAAA